UCUGGUAAUUAUGGCAGAGAGGUCACACCCGUUCCCAUACCGAACACGGAAGUUAAGCUCUUUAGCGCCGAUGGUAGUUGGGGGUUUCCCCCUGUGAGAGUAGGACGUUGCCAGGU
Ribosomal RNA from Bacillus sp. SJS, 116 nucleotides. Lineage: Bacteria; Bacillati; Bacillota; Bacilli; Caryophanales; Bacillaceae. The record is from Rfam.